RNAcentral lists this ribosomal RNA (292 nucleotides) under uncultured bacterium. Its description in RNAcentral is "partial 16S ribosomal RNA". It matches the Rfam family "Bacterial small subunit ribosomal RNA", at positions 505 to 796 of the family's 1533-position model. The record is from RNAcentral.
GUGCCAGCCGCCGCGGUAAUACAGAGGGCGCUAGCGUUGUUCGGAAUCACUGGGCGUAAAGAGCAUGUAGGCGGCAUGGCAAGUCAGAUGUGAAAUCCCGGAGCUUAACUCCGGAACUGCAUUUGAAACUGCCAAGCUAGAGUAAAGUAGAGGCUGGCGGAAUUCCUAGUGUAGAGGUGAAAUUCGUAGAUAUUAGGAAGAACACCGGUGGCGAAGGCGGCCAGCUGGGCUUUUACUGACGCUAAAGUGCGAAAGCGUGGGGAGCAAACAGGAUUAGAAACCCCAGUAGUCC